UACAGAGGGGGCAAGCGUUGUUCGGAAUUACUGGGCGUAAAGGGCGCGUAGGCGGCCUGCUAAGUCGAACGUGAAAUCCCUGGGCUCAACCUAGGAACUGCGUCCGAUACGGGUUGGCUUGAAUCCGGGAGAGGGAUGUGGAAUUCCAGGUGUAGCGGUGAAAUGCGUAGAUAUCUGGAGGAACACCGGUGGCGAAGGCGACAUCCUGGACCGGUAUUGACGCUGAGGCGCGAAAGCCAGGGGAGCAAACGGG
This 253-nucleotide ribosomal RNA is filed under the name uncultured bacterium. Its description in RNAcentral is "partial 16S ribosomal RNA". It matches the Rfam family "Bacterial small subunit ribosomal RNA", at positions 524 to 776 of the family's 1533-position model. The record is from RNAcentral.